UGGCUGUUUAUGUAAAACUAUAUAAAAAUAGACUCUUAAUCUAUUGGUCGUAGGUUCGAACCCCACACGGCCCACCA
RNAcentral lists this transfer RNA (77 nucleotides) under Thiotrichales bacterium. RNAcentral's name for it is "tRNA-Lys". It matches the Rfam family "tRNA". Rfam says of the family: Transfer RNA (tRNA) molecules are approximately 80 nucleotides in length. Their secondary structure includes four short double-helical elements and three loops (D, anti-codon, and T loops). Further hydrogen bonds mediate the characteristic L-shaped molecular structure. tRNAs have two regions of fundamental functional importance: the anti-codon, which is responsible for specific mRNA codon recognition, and the 3' end, to which the tRNAs corresponding amino acid is attached (by aminoacyl-tRNA synthetases). tRNAs cope with the degeneracy of the genetic code in two manners: having more than one tRNA (with a specific anti-codon) for a particular amino acid; and 'wobble' base-pairing, i.e. permitting non-standard base-pairing at the 3rd anti-codon position. The record is from RNAcentral. Lineage: Bacteria; Pseudomonadati; Pseudomonadota; Gammaproteobacteria; Thiotrichales.